GAGUUUGAUUCUGGCUCAGGAUGAACGCUGGCGGUAUGCCUUAUACAUGCAAGUCGUACGAGAGUUUUUAGCUCAAGUGGCGGACGGGUGAGUAACACGUAAGAAUUUGCCUUUAGGAGGGGGACAACAACUGGAAACGGUUGCUAAUACCCCAUAUGCUUUCGAGUGAAAUGGUUUUUCCGCCUAAAGAGAAGCUUGCGGCUGAUUAGCUUGUUGGUAGAGUAAUAGCCUACCAAGGCGACGAUCAGUAUCUGGUUUGAGAGGACGAUCAGACACACUGGAACUGAGACACGGUCCAGACUCCUACGGGAGGCAGCAGUAGGGAAUUUUCCGCAAUGGGCGAAAGCCUGACGGAGCAAUACCGCGUGAGGGAUGACUGCCUAUGGGUUGUAAACCUCUUUUUUCAGGGAGGAAUAAAUGACGUGUACCUGAAGAAUAAGCAUCGGCUAACUCCGUGCCAGCAGCCGCGGUAAGACGGAGGAUGCAAGUGUUAUCCGGAAUCACUGGGCGUAAAGCGUCUGUAGGUGGUCAAAUAAGUCAACUGUUAAAUCUUGGGGCUCAACCUCAAAAUCGCAGUCGAAACUAUUAGGCUAGAGUAUAGUAGAGGUAAAGGGAAUUUCCAGUGGAGCGGUGAAAUGCGUAGAGAUUGGAAAGAACACCGAUGGCGAAGGCACUUUACUGGGCUAUUACUGACACUCAGAGACGAAAGCUAGGGUAGCAAAUGGGAUUAGAUACCCCAGUAGUCCUAGCCGUAAACAAUGGAUACUAGGUGUUGAACAGAUCGAUCUGUGCAGUACUAAAGCUAACGCGUUAAGUAUCCCGCCUGGGAAGUAUGCACGCAAGUGUGAAACUCAAAGGAAUUGACGGGGGCCCGCACAAGCGGUGGAGCAUGUGGUUUAAUUCGAUGCAACGCGAAGAACCUUACCAGGGUUUGACAUGAUACGAAUUUCUUUGAAAAAAGAAAGUGCCUUUUGGAACGUAUACACAGGUGGUGCAUGGCUGUC
Molecule: ribosomal RNA, 1004 nt
Filed under: uncultured phototrophic eukaryote
Lineage: Eukaryota
Description: bacterial SSU rRNA
Rfam family: Bacterial small subunit ribosomal RNA
Source: RNAcentral